AUUGAACGCUGGCGGAAUGCUUUACACAUGCAAGUCGAACGGUAGAGGGGGCAACCCCUCGAGAGUGGCGAACGGGUGAGUAAUAUAUCGGAACGUGCCCAGUCGUGGGGGAUAACGUAGCGAAAGUUACGCUAAUACCGCAUACGAUCUAGGGAUGAAGGCGGGGGAUCGCAAGACCUCGCGCGAUUGGAGCGGCCGAUACCAGAUUAGGUAGUUGGUGGGGUAAAGGCUCACCAAGCCAACGAUCUGUAGCUGGUCUGAGAGGACGACCAGCCACACUGGAACUGAGACACGGUCCAGACUCCUACGGGAGGCAGCAGUGGGGAAUUUUGGACAAUGGACGCAAGUCUGAUCCAGCCAUUCCGCGUGCAGGAUGAAGGCCCUCGGGUUGUAAACUGCUUUUGUACGGAACGAAAAGGUCUCUCUUAAUACGGGGGACUCAUGACGGUACCGUAAGAAUAAGCACCGGCUAACUACGUGCCAGCCGCCGCAGUAA
This 496-nucleotide ribosomal RNA is filed under the name uncultured bacterium. RNAcentral's name for it is "partial 16S ribosomal RNA". It matches the Rfam family "Bacterial small subunit ribosomal RNA", at positions 30 to 523 of the family's 1533-position model. The record is from RNAcentral.